This 466-nucleotide ribosomal RNA is filed under the name uncultured bacterium. Its description in RNAcentral is "bacterial SSU rRNA". It matches the Rfam family "Bacterial small subunit ribosomal RNA", at positions 28 to 524 of the family's 1533-position model. The record is from RNAcentral.
GACGAACGCUGGCGGCAGGCUUAACACAUGCAAGUCGAGCGGGCGUAGCAAUACGUCAGCGGCAGACGGGUGAGUAACGCGUGGGAACGUACCUUUUGGUUCGGAACAACACAGGGAAACUUGUGCUAAUACCGGAUAAGCCCUUACGGGGAAAGAUUUAUCGCCGAAAGAUCGGCCCGCGUCUGAUUAGCUAGUUGGUGAGGUAACGGCUCACCAAGGCGACGAUCAGUAGCUGGUCGAGAGGAUGAUCAGCCACAUUGGGACUGAGACACGGUCCAGACUCCUACGGGAGGCAGCAGUGGGGAAUAUUGCGCAAUGGGCGAAAGCCUGACGCAGCGACGCCGCGUGGGGGAUGAAGCUUUUCGGAGUGUAAACCCCUUUCGACCCGGACGAAUGGCCCGCAAGGGACGUGGACGGUACGGGUAUAAGAAGCCCCGGCUAACUACGUGCCAGCCGCCGCGGUAAC